This 207-nucleotide ribosomal RNA is filed under the name uncultured bacterium. RNAcentral's name for it is "partial 16S ribosomal RNA". It matches the Rfam family "Bacterial small subunit ribosomal RNA", at positions 568 to 774 of the family's 1533-position model. The record is from RNAcentral.
CACGUAGGCGGAUAUUUAAGUCAGGGGUGAAAUCCCAGAGCUCAACUCUGGAACUGCCUUUGAUACUGGGUAUCUUGAGUAUGAGAGAGGUGUGUGGAACUCCGAGUGUAGAGGUGAAAUUCGUAGAUAUUCGGAAGAACACCAGUGGCGAAGGCGGCUUACUGGUCCAUUACUGACGCUGAGGUGCGAAAGCGUGGGGAGCAAACA